GAUGAACGUUGGCGGCGUGCCUAAUACAUGCAAGUCGAACGAAGACUGUAGUAAUACUGUCUUAGUGGCGAACGGGUGAGUAACGCGUGGGUGACCUGCCCCGAAGUGUGGGAUAACAGUCCGAAAGGAUUGCUAAUACUGCAUAAUAUCCAAGAGAUUAGAUGCUUUUUGGAUUAAAGGAGUAAUUCGCUUCGGGAGGGGCCCGCGUCCCAUCAGCUAGUUGGUAAGGUAAUGGCUUACCAAGGCGAUGACGGGUAGGGGACCUGAGAGGGUGGCCCCCCAAAUGGAACUGAAACACGGUCCAUACACCUACGGGUGGCAGCAGUAGGGAAUAUUAGUAAUGGGCGAAAGCCUGAACUAGCAACGCCGCGUGUGCGAAGAAGGCCUUCGGGUCGUAAAGCACUUUUUGAGAGGAUGAGGAAGGACGGUACUCUCAGAAUAAGUCUCGGCUAACUACGUGCCAAGCAAGCCGCGGUAAAGUACGAGAGUAA
Molecule: ribosomal RNA, 491 nt
Filed under: uncultured bacterium
Lineage: Bacteria
Description: bacterial SSU rRNA
Rfam family: Bacterial small subunit ribosomal RNA
Source: RNAcentral